AGAGUUUGAUCCUGGCUCAGGAUGAACGCUAGCGGCAGGCUUAACACAUGCAAGUCGAGGGGCAGCAAGGGUAGCAAUACCUGUUGGCGACCGGCAAACGGGUGCGGAACGCGUACAGAAUCUACCUCUAUCUGGGGCAUAGCCCGAAGAAAUUCGGAUUAACUCCCCAUAAUAUAGAUGAGUGGCAUCACUUGACUAUUAAAAAUUUAUUGGAUAGAGAUGACUGUGCGUCCCAUUAGCUAGUUGGUAGGGUAACGGCCUACCAAGGCGACGAUGGGUAGCUGGUGUGAGAGCACGACCAGCCACACGGGCACUGAGACACGGGCCCGACUCCUACGGGAGGCAGCAGUGAGGAAUAUUGGUCAAUGGACGCAAGUCUGAACCAGCCAUGCCGCGUGAAGGAUGAAGGCCUUCUGGGUUGUAAACUUCUUUUAUCUGGGAAGAAAAUUACGGUUUCUACUGUAACCGACGGUACCAGAGGAAUAAGCACCGGCUAACUCCGUGCCAGCAGCCGCGGUAAUACGGAGGGUGC
Molecule: ribosomal RNA, 532 nt
Filed under: uncultured bacterium
Lineage: Bacteria
Description: bacterial SSU rRNA
Rfam family: Bacterial small subunit ribosomal RNA
Source: RNAcentral